UUAAAGACCAUUGAAAUUACAUUAAAUGCAAAACAAAAAACACACUUUUGAUCAUAUUUAACAUAUUCAUGGUCAAAAUGACUUGUAUUGGGUAACUAGUUUAGAAAAUUAAUUUGACAAUAGAUUAAAAAACAAAUAAACAACUGUGUAUUGUCAGUAUCGAUUUUUUUGGACAGAGUAAAACUUUUAAAAAAAAAAUAUAAUGGACAUUUGAUUUUGUUGGUUUUUCAAAGUAUGUAUAUCGAUAGAAAUUUAAAAUGAACAUUUAUAUUUGUGGUCAUCUGUUACCAUAAAACACACAAAAAUCUGGUAUCCAACUAUAUAAAAAUAUAUCUUAACCUUCUUGUAUGUUAACUAUGUUACAAAGUAGCUUAUUCUCAAAUAGAAGUAGCAAACAUUAAUAUAGAAAUGGUUAUUAAUUUUCCUAAAGCCAUUUAGUAAUUGUCAAUGCAAAAAUACAAAAGAUUGGUAAACUUUUUGUAAGGGUUUCAAGAAAAAAGUGCAAGUUGACCUACAUAUCUGUAUUAAGGUGGUACCUAACACUACAAGGAGAUAACUCUUUAAAAUCAGCUAAACGUUUUAAUUACGUUGUAUUGUUAAGGAAAUAUUAAGCUUCAAAUUGAUUAAAUUGAGUGU
RNAcentral lists this long non-coding RNA (636 nucleotides) under Mytilus galloprovincialis (Mediterranean mussel). The record is from RNAcentral. Lineage: Eukaryota; Metazoa; Mollusca; Bivalvia; Mytilida; Mytilidae.